CCCGGGCCGGACAGGGCUGACCCGGCGGGGCUGCCGCCCUCUCCCUCCUCCCAGCCGGCCGUGCCUCCUCCACCUCCCAGCUGUCGGCGAUUCCUUGCCUCUGCUUUUUGCUUUCUCCUUGCAUUGCUUCCACGCCGUUUAGGACUGGCUCUCGAGCCCCAAGUUUUAGAAACUUAGUUUUGAGAGCUCUGUCUCAGUCUAUUUUAUAUUAUUUUCAAACGUUUCAGUUGCUCUUAAUUUUGUAUGGGGCUUUGAUGUUUAUAGAAAACUUCAGUGUUUGUUUUCCUAACAAAACCCCAACUUUGAGCCGUAACUUUGUGAGGAAAUUGAUUGUUUCCAGCAAAUGUUACUUGACUUUGUUUACAUUUACACGUACGAAUAGCAGAAAGUGACUGUAGGACGUGAGUUGCUCCUUCUGUUUCUGAGCCGACGUGCCUCGCUGUCCUGGUGGGAACGCCGUGCUUUGUGGGCAGAUUAACACAAAACGCAUUUUGAUGGAUGGCAAUCACUUUCCUUCUCUUUACUGUCUAAUGGAAUUCAAGGUAAUUAACCCCUUUAUAAGGGUCUUUCCUUUAGACGAGCGUAGGAGGUUGAUGUCUGUUUUAUUCUGUGGUUCAUCAGCCAAAACCGGGGUCGUUCCCUGUGCUGUGCCUUUGACCACUGGAGGGCUGCAGAGAACAUUUUUGGAUAACGGGAGCCACAAUCUCACAGUAGUUGGUGGUUAAAAAUAGGCAUUUUAAGGUUAUUUAUACUGAUAUUCAAGCGCUUUAAGUUUUUGCUUGUUACUUUAUGUAUUUUGUUUCUUAAGAUUGGAUCUUUUCAAAGAGUGUAAUGCAGUGUUAAUAAAUGAAGUAAGAUAUCUUGGCACUGUAUGGACUUAAUAUCUGAGAUGCUUUUUCCUCCUCCACCUGAUCGGUAGAGGAAAGAAAAAAAGGGUUUAUUUCAGCAAGAACCUCGUGCUCAUUUCCCCUUGCUCUGUUUUCCUACAGUAAGCAAGUUUAAAGGCGUUUUAUGGGUGUCUCAUGCACACAACUGCAGUGCUUUUGUAACUAUAACCUGGACUUGUGGCUUGAAGGUGCAUUCUGGUGGGAGAUGGAGGUGGGAUGUGGUGUGUACAAAGCUCCUCAUGUGCCCUGAGCAUCCUGUUGUAUAGAGAAUCAAAGAUAAUGAUUGCAGUUCUCAUCUCAUCUAACUUCUAUGGGCUCUGCUGCUUCUCAUUUUAAAACCAAAACCAAGCCCCCUCCACCCCCGCUCUUUUUCCCCACAUGUUUGUGAGGAUGGGGAGAAGGAUUACAGGAACAGUUCUGGUUGCCACUUUUUUCACUUAGUAGAAAAUAACAAUUUCUUUCACUAAAUAUCUCCAGGCUGCAAAAAUUGUUUACUCUCAAUAGAAGGGGGGACCUUUCCCCCCCCCCCCCAAAAAAAAAACCAAAACAGAAAACAAACCAAACACCUCUCUAAAUUCUUCCAAGGAAAAAGAAAUACAUCAGAGUGGUUAGGAGGUGGUUAGUUACAGAACUUAAUGUGUGUAUUAAAUAUGCAUAUGCAGUUUUUUAGCUUUGCAGGAGGUUGUUGACGCCGAGAUCUCUAUCAUAGGGUCAAAUAAAAAUUGUCAUUGUUGGACAGAAAAAUGUUUUCUUUUGAGUAUUUCCAGCUAGCUUUGCUCAGUAAGACAGAGAGGCAGACUUUCUGGUUUAUUGAAAUUGAGGAUUGUCAAUUGAUAUGAAAUUAAUGAUGUCUGGAAUGUGUAGGAACUGUCUCUUGUGGUCUUCAGUUAUGGAAAGGAGAAUAUGCUGAAGGGUAAGGUUUGUUUUUUUUUUCUCUCCAUCAUACUCAAAAUUCACAGGUCCAUGUGGUCACAGGCAGGGAGCAAUACAACCUGCAGCACUUUCUCUUUUGUUUCCCCAAAUCUCUGAAUAAUUCAUUGUUACAGUAAGUACUAAACUACUCAAUGAAGUCUCAAAAUUCUUGUAAGACUCAAUUAAUCAACCUCUUAAAUUUCAUUGUAUUUGAACUUCAUCAUUACCAUAAACAACAUUUUUAUUUUUAAGUACAGCCAAAAGCCUCUCAAUGAUCUGAAUAACUAAGACUAUUUUAUUCUAAUUAAAUUAAUUACAUGGGCAAAACUUGAAGUUUUAGCCAUUGCAGCCAUUUCCAAAUCCGUGGAACAUUCAGUCCCACUUACUGGGUGUGUGCUGUGAGUACAUCAGAUCUGACUCCCAGCAGCAGAACCAGCAUCCUCUGCCUGAGAGAAACCUUCAGUUCUGAGGAGAGGAAGGUGAAGGAAAAGCUUUGAGAAUGCACCGGACAGAUCCUAGAGUCUGAUAUUUCCUGCAUCACUCAGUGUUUCCUUGUAUUUCUUUUUGUAGUAAAUAAUAAUGAAAUCCUUCUCAUUAUCAGUUCAUUCGAGACAUUAAAAAAAAAGCUUUCUUUUCAACCUCAUCCAGAAUACUUGAGAAGCAGUGUUUGGCAAGUGCUUAGGUCAGAAGAUGGGAGUUGAAGCAACUGUGCUUUCUUUUGCUGGUGCUUCCUGUAGCUCACCAAUAAACCCCAAUAAAGACAUGUAAAUUAUUUCAUCUUUCUGUUUCUUUUCAUCAAUAAAUUGAGUGAGGAAUCCUUUUUUUUUUUCCCCAGAGUGUUUUGAUUGAAAAGCAGUUCAUGAAGACCGACUCUUGUGUCUCACAGGAUAAAAGAUUCGUCUGAUUAUGAAGUCCGGGUGUCAAGAUAAUGAAAUGAUUCAGAGGUCUCAAAAGACAGAAGUCAGUAUUUGAUAGCAGCUUUAGUAUUCAGGUAUUACAGCAUAGAAGACUGACAACUAUAUUUAAAUUGUCAUUAUGAAGUUGGAGAAUGUUCGUCAGUCAGAAUCAUAUUUAUUACCAAUUUUAAUUGCAUGACUUGGAAGGCUACCAAGACAGGGAACUGAACAGCUUCCAGAGCAUGUUUUAAUUGUGAGCAGAGUGUGUGCCACUUAAAGAACAUCCUCCAAGGUGUGUCUUUUGUCACCUCUCAUUAAGUGGUUUUUGAGCAGAGUUUCAUCCCUUUCUCUCCCCUUUAAAGUGACCUCAGUUUUCUUCAGUUGGUUUUUAAACACCCAGCAGCAGUACCCAGGAGGUGAGAGUCCUGCAUGCUCACUGGGGGCUUUCAGCACAAAAUUCAGGAUGCCUGUAAUGCUUCAGUGUUUUGUUUCUUUUUAUGAGCUGCAAAUUUACUCUCUCCAGAAGGUUAAUGAUUGGAAUCUUAACUAUUUUAAAUGUGCAAGUGUCAAUAUCUGAAGUGCACUUCAGGACAGUUCACUCUAAAUGCCUUCCCAUUCUUUGCUGUGUGCCUUACAAUAAAAAUGGACAUGAUGAUUGCUUAAAGAUGUAAAGCAGGGGAGUGAGUUACCUCGAGUAAGUUGUUAGAAUGUUAUGCAUUAUAAUAUGGCAUCAAACUUCAAGUGACUUCUUAAUUAAAUUAACCUAAAGGCUCUGGAUGUGCAUCUCACUGCAUCAGUUAAUUUGGUGCUUAUCGUUCUUCAUAACUGAUAUUGGGGGAAAAAAAAAUUAAAAAAUCAGUGUUUAAGACAUGUGGGUUUUACCCUCCCUUCCCAGAAAUCCUGCUUUAUGUGGAAGAUGGAUAAUUCUUAAAAUCCAUCUUUUAAGAAAUUAUUUGGGUUUCUGUAAAUCUCUCAUGGUGCUUGGUGGUGAGGUAUCCCUGAUGCCGCUGGCUUUCUGGUACAGGUUGGGGGUGUACAAGAUGUUCAAGCUUGGCAGAAAUUAAAGGGUUUGGAGAAGUGGUUCAGGUUUUUUGAGCUCUUACAAGUCUGAGUAUCCUCAAGAUCCAGAUAGAGCAUGAGUUGACCAAUAUAUAACAAUGAAUUUAAGAGUAUUGGGCUAGGAAAGACGGAUUUUGCAGUUUACCUAAAAAAACAUGUUUUGGAAUAGAAUAGAAGUGUAUGUGCUGAAUUACAAGUCAUUUUAAUGUGGUUUUUCUCUGUAUUGAUUUUAAAGAUGGCUCUGCAGGAUUUGCAGUUUCUCAGCAGUUAAUGCUAUUAUUUAGAUGAUUGGUCUUUGUACGUGGAAUCCUGACCCUCGUUAAAUCAAUGUGAGAUUUGCCUCGUGUCUUGGUAGAAUGGAGUUUCAUCCUUUGUGUGUUUUCCUCUAAAUGUAAACAGUUAUUUCAAAGCUUUUAAAGUUAUUCUGCUAAUAGUUGCCUUUAUCCAAACAGGAGGAAUAUUUGAUUUCAUGUCUUUCACCUUACAACUGCUUUCAUUGAGCCAAGAGAACAAGUCUUGAUGGCUUUUGUUGGUUUUGUUUGGGUUUUUUUGUUUGUUUUGUUUGGGUUUUUUUUGUUCUUUUCGAAGUGCUUUUUUUAAAACUAUUGAGUGAAGCUGGCCAAGACGGGUGUCCUGCAGGUUUAAGUGAGGUUGUUCUUCCCUGUGCUGCCUGUCAGAACAGCUGUAUUGGAAGCAGGCUGUUUGCUCCUUGCCAGUAUUACAGCCUCAGGAUUCCUGCCUGGUACUGGGUAAAUACUGGGAGUGCAGUAAAGUCAAGCAGUGGUGCACCCUGCCAAGGUUUCUCACUUGUGCUUGUUUUGUGGAGCUGUUCCUUGUUGCUCUUACAAAUCAGACCCAUCACUUGAAAUUGCAUAUCCCAAAUCUGGAUAGUACUUGCCUGUUUUUCUAAUAAUAAUAAUUAACAUUUAAUUUACUACUACUUUACUUUGCAGGUCUCAGGACAGUUAAAAAGAAGUGAACCUUUUAUUUAAUUUGAUGAAAAUUGCAAUCAAAUGCAAAUAUUGAAAUUCUGCUUUUUGAUCAGCAUUCAUCUACUUCUCAUUUGCUUGUGGAUUGGAGUAAGUAGGUGAGAAGAAACAGACUCACUGAUUUCCUCUUUCUUUCUUGUGUAGAUUCUCCUCUCAUUGAGUAUGCACAAGAUUAUCAACACUUUGUGUUUAUAUAUGUACUGCAUAUGUCUGAUCAUUGUCAGCUUACAAGGACUUCAUGACUUUCCAGGCACUUGGGUUUUUCCCUCCUUAAACUCCUGAAAUCAAGCAACUAAGAAAAUGUAGUCUUUUAUACCCUAAAAAAAUAAUAAACCCUACCUUGAAUGUUAGGGAUGAAGCACAAAGGUUGUGCUGGUAAAUCACAAAAACUUAAAAGCACAAAGAAAGUAGUGAGGGUUUCCCACAUAACUUGGUGGGUUGUUUUUGCCUAGCACCUGACUCUUGGAAAUGCAGUCAAAGUCUGACUGUGGCUGGAAAGUAUCAUACCCCUUGCCUAUACCAGGUUGGAAAUUUGCAGUAAUUGGCUUGAAUUUCGUGGUUGUGAGAGGAGCUUGUAAAAUAUGGGUUGGUGGGACAAAGUUAAAAUAAUUUGUGAACUCCCUCUCAUGAUUUUCUGUGUGAUAGAUGAGGUUGGUUUCUGAAAUUUGGUUUGGAGUUAGUUUCACAAAGGCUACUAGUGCAGGUCAGUCUGUGACAGAAUGCACUGACAGGCAUAUUUGAGACAUUUCUGAAGAAACUGUAAAGCAAUCGUGUUUGAAGGGUGAUUUUCCCUUUUCCUUAUGAUAACUGCUUUAAAAAUUCCUCAGCUCCAGCUGAACAGAUGGUAUUUGCUGUUACUGUCAGGCUUAGAUCUUAAAAGUUCAUUUUUUUCAUCCUUAGUUAACAGAAUUUUAAAUUUGUGUUGAAAAAGGAAGCCUAGAAAGAUGUUAAAUGUCUGAUUUAUACUUAAUUGCCUUAAAAAGCCAGCCUUUUGAUAGUGGUCUUUCAACCUGGCACAGGUAGGCUCAAACUCUUGAUUUGAUGUCAAAGAGAAAAGCAUUGGCUGCUGAAGCCAAUUGUAGUUGGUUUCUAUCUUUUUCUUCCUCAAAAACAGCAUAAGAAGCGGUGUAUAAAAUGAUCAAAAUGCAAUUAUUUCAGGAUUUUGCUGAAGUGAAAGGCACAAGAUGAGGCAGAGUUAUUGAGAUGAAAUAAUUUGAAGAGAAAUACUUGGAGUUUUAUUUUGGGAAACUGAGAUAAUUUCCUUUUUUGAUUCCUCUGCACUCCUCCUUUAAUGGUGGUCUUUGGUGUUGUGGGAUCUGUGGGCCCGUUCCAACGGCGUCAAAAAAUAAUCAAGAAAAACACAUCUAUUUUCAGUAGGCUUGUGAUACCAUUCAGCUGUCCAUCUAAAUUUGUAGGGCUUCACAAAUCAAAAAGAGCUGGUGCUGCUUGUGAAGAUCAGCAAAAAAUAUCUGAGAAUAUUUUUGGUGGAAACAACAUGACCUCAAAAAACGUCAGUCUGUUUGUUAGAUGUUUGGCUUUCUAAUAGUAAAAAAAAUUAAAAUAUUUUGUCCAAUAUGUUUUAUUUUUAGUAACUUAAAUCAGUGUAGAUUUGAGUAUUAUGCCUUUAUUUAGAAAGUACCUCAAUUUGAGAUGUCUUAAAGAGGUAGUUCCCUUAUAAGUUCAGGAGAAUACUUACUUUUUUCCCCUACAUUCUGCAAAAUACAAGCUUGUCUUCUUUUCCAGUCUCAAAGAGUAUAUAUUCCUUAAUGUACAGUGGAAUUUCUGAGGAGAUCAAUCCUGAAAUGCUGUUAGGAUUUCUUACACUCUCCAUUUGAAUGUGAAGAGCUAAAUCUGAACAUGGUUUGGCUUAACCUUCUUUGGAAAUGCUUGAAGCUGAACAAUAUAAAUGCUUUUUGUACAGGAUGAGGCUGUGUACUCACUUUGCACAAUAGAGAGCUUUUACUUACAGCAAGACCAACAGAGGAGGAAAAGCAGUUUGGUGUUUUGAUAAACAAAGUGGUUGGCAAAUCGAGUUCUGAGGUUUUAAGGCUUUCAGCACUGCAAACCCGAGAGAGGGACAGGAGCUCUGAGCCAAAGAGUUCAGAUUGAUGGGAAAACGUUGAAAUUCUGUAAACUUCUGGGUGUGUGGCCUUGACUGUAUUUCAGGAAGCAGUUCUCAUUGAGACCACAAAUUCUAAAAAUAAGUUAGGGCGAGGGAAUAAGGUCUGUUAUAGAAAUUUAAUUAUAGACCAGCUUCUGUUUCUUUGGAAGCUAAUAAAACCCAAUAUAUUUUUGCAAGGCUUGCCAAUAUUGGCAGAUUAGUGGAUUUAGUGAAACCUUGAGAAUAGCUGAAGGGUAAACUGGGACAUAGGAGGAAAAUUAAUUUUAGUCUGUGUUUAAGUUCACCACUUUCUAUACUAAAAUACCUUCUACAGAGUGCUGACUGUAGCAUAAUUGUGAAGGAUUUUUGAGGUUUUUGAAUUUAUCUUUGCAAAAUAUUUCCUGGGUAUCUUUUUGCAGAUCUUGUCUAGCCCAGUUCUUUUAGGCUGAUUGUACAUCAGAUAAUUAUCUUAUAUUCCACAUAAGCAAUUGCUCUGAUAUAAUUUAUGACCUGCUGACCUUUUCACUUUUCUGCUGCGAUGAUUAUAAUGAGUGUGUUGAACAAAGGAGGAAAUUGAAGGCCAAAUACCCAGGGGAGUUGAAUCACCUAGGAGCUGGAGAAGUCUGGUGUAAUCUGUGGGCAGGGAGCUGAUUGCUGUCUUUUCCUGGGGAUAAUGUGCAGAUCUCUUUCUCAGCUAUUGUUGUGUGCACAGGAGGAGAAAUUUGAUGGUGGGGAGGUGAGGCAAGCAAGGAAAUGAACAGGUUUUGGGUUUUUUUUAAUUAAUUUUUUCUGGGAAUUCACACCUGUGUCAGUGCCCCCUCGAGCAUGGGGGACACCACAUGGUGCUCUUGGUUUCUUCUCUGCUUCAUAAGAAAUGUAAUACUUCUCAGGCUCCAGAGGCUGGGUUGGCUGAACUGAAGGGCUCUGCUUACAGAAAGACAGUGUUUCUCCUGGUUGGCUUGUAAUAAAUACUUUUGCUGUUUCAUGUUUGUUAUUAUAGGGUAAAUUCCAAGUCUCAGAUCUAAAUAUAAAAUUUUGUCAGAACUCUGUAAACUUGGCAGUGUUUUUGUGAUGCAUAUCAGUGUGUGUAGUGGCUCUGUCAAAAUUCAGCACCCUGUGAUCGCUGGGAGAUCAGGAGAGCAGAGAGAAAAUGAAAUGGAACCUGCAUCCUUUCGUAUUCUUAGGCAUGUAGAAAUUAAUAUCUUAAAAGCUUGGGUUUUGCUCCCAACUGAGUGCUUGCUCUUGCAGGAAGUUGAUCUGAAAUGCAGAAGAACUGAUGCUUAAUUUCUGUAGUAAUAAAUGCUGUUCCAUUUGGCAUUCCCAUUAUUGAGUGAAACUGAUUGCCAUCAGCUUUGUAUGACCCAUCAGGGGGGGAACUCACUUUGGCUAAACUUUGGAGUGCAUUCAGUAAAACUGAGAGUGACUUCUGUCCUUCAAAGGGAAGAUUCUUCAUAGCCUUUCCAAAAUACCUGGCUCAGAACAACAAUUGCACCUGCCUUGGGAGGAUCAUGAUUUCCCUUGUGAUCCUCAUGGAGAAAUGGGCUGCUCAAAUUGCACAAGACCUGCAGCAUCCUGUGCUCACCCUCAGCCUGGUGUUUUUGCUCCAGGAUGUGUUUGAUGGGGACUGCCAUUGUAGAAAGGGACUGGAAAUAUCAUUGCCAGCUUACAGUUCUAAAUGGGUUGUGUAAGACUGUGACCCUGAAAAGCUGCUGCUCUCUUCACUGCAGUGAUUUAGCUGGAGACACUUUGGCUGCAUGGGAAUUUCCAUGCAGUAUUUAUUUUGACAAAAAUUGGAGAAAAAGUUUUACUGACGUAUCAUUCUGAAGCAUUGUCCUAUUUUAGGGGCUCAGAUGGAAAUGAAUGGCUCAUUCUCCUAGCUCUGGGAAGGCUGGGUCAGUCCCUGGUAAUCUGCAGGUUUGCACACAGGAGUUCAGGGUGUCUGACAGAAAUGGUGUUGACUGUGUUUGAUAGCCUUGUACAAAGUAAUGCUCCACACUGUUGUGACCUUAAAGAGAAAUGUUGUGGGUAGUGUGCUUGAAAACCCAAUAAACUGCGUGGGAUUGUGCUCCUUUGUGCUGACAGAAAUUACUGAGAAUAUUUUCCAGUGAUUUGCAAUAUCUGGGUAUGUGUGUGAUAAACUUUUGUGUGACCUGCCAAACACCUGACUGCUUCUGAGAUUAACAUGUUCUGUUAACACCCCAGACUUUGUCUGGGCAGGACAGAAAUAAAGAAUGCUUUUGAUUUUUAAAUAAACUUUCAUCAGCUGCUGACUGGGGUUAACAUGACACUACUGAUGAGUUGCUGUGUGUGCUGUGUUGAUCAUGCAGCUUCACAUAUGUUAUUUUCAAGUAUCACUGAAAAUAACAUUGCAGGGAAAAUUUGGGUCUUGUCUUCCUAGCUUUCACAGCAGCAAUUACAUGAGGUUUGACCAUUCCUCCUCUGUAUUCAGGCCUGGAUUCAGUGUGACCACUACCAGUGGUUUGGGUUUUCUUUUUCUUUUUCAUUCAGAGUGGAGAUACUGACUUUGUUCUGACUGUGCUCAGGCUAUGAGCUCCUUUUAUGUGUGCUAAUGGUUCACUUUCUUUGCUAUAAUUCAUGAACAACUGUCUUUUGUAAAGUUGGCCUUGGUAUUUCAAAAUCUUCUUCAAUUUGAGGGAAUUUUUCUGGGAUGUAAACAGGUGCCUUUGUAGAACCAGUUCAAAUUCCAGGGAAGUUCUCUGUGUUGUUUCCUUCCUUUGCCUUCAUAAUAAGGGCAAAUAGAUUAUAAUAUUUUUUUGAGUUCUUUUUAAGGGUAUUAACUUCUGGGUGGGAUAAUCUGCUGAAGUGCUUCAUUUGCAUAACAAAUUACUAGAAUGCAGUAUUGAUGGCUAUUCAUGAGCACCAACAUUCACUGAAUAGCUUGGAAAGCUAAUUAAAUUAUAAUUGACUUUAUUCCUCUCUCUCCUGUUAAUGUUUCAUUUUCCUGUCAAAUUGUUAAGUUGGUUUUUGUCUUCAGUUGUUAAAAAUAACCUGUCUUCAGCACACUCAAGGGACUUCUGCAGCCUGUUCUGAAUUGUUCAGGUGCAAAGUUAUGGGUAAGUGGGCUGCAGUCUCCUGGUUCUUCUUGAUACCUCUUUGUAACCCAGAUUAGUUUAAAGACAGAAUGUUUACAUAUUUCAUAGCCUCUUAAGAUUUUAGUUUAACAAUUCUAGAGAACUCAAAAAGAACCAAAAUGUUGAUAUAUUACAAAGAAAUAUUUACAUGUCAGUAUUGUAAAUCUCUUUACAAAUCUUGUCUUGAGCAAAUUGCUGCCUGACCAAGUGAUGUGGUUACUGUUGAUGUGCUGAAAAGUGUCUUUAUUGCACCAGUUUUAAACACCAUUUAGUUGAACUAAUGUUUUGUAAAGUGCAGGAGAAAAUGACAGGAAUCAUGAUACUGUACCUGUUUCUGAAGUCUCUGAGGUGAGUCUGGGGUGGUGUACCAGGAAGUCUUGCUUUGUGCUAGUGGCUCCAAUUUUCCCUGUUUCUGGAAAAUGCUGUUUAGCGCACCCUGACCUUUUGACCUCCUCUCUUUCUCAAGGGGCUGACCUGGGCAGGUUUUCUUUUAACUGCAAGUCCUUUCACUCAGGGACGUAAUUCUUGAACCUGCAGCUUGGAGAAACUCAGCAGAGGACACCACUGUUGCCAUUCCUAACUCACGCCAGUGAAUUUUUGAUUACAUCCCAUGAGAAAUAUUGAAUAUCAUGGUGCAAUUGGUAAGGAUAUUAAAACUAAGGGAAUGUAUUAAAAUAGCUUGUUCAGGUAGAAAAAGUAUUGAAAGACUAAGAAGAUAAUUGAUUUCCAAUUAUCAUGCUGCUGGAUGGACCGGGCUCUUUCUCAGGAUGGUGCUUCUGAGGAGAAGAUGAAUUUUAAAAAGUCUCAUCACCAACAUAUCCCAGUGCAGCUGCUGACAGGAUAAAGUUCAUUGGAAUGUGAAACUCGGUGCAGCCAAGAAGAUUGAUCAAUUGGGAAGGGACCGAGUCAAAAACUAAACAAAGAAACAUCCAAAACUGAAGAAGAAUGUAUGAAUAUGUAUGAGAAUUUAUGAAUAUGUAGUAGGAUUCUGUUUUUAAGGGACAAUCCUGUGUUAGUAAGGUGUGCUCUCUUGGCUGAAUGCAGAGACACCCGGCCCUAUCUGUAUACUUCACUUUAUUUCUAUCUCCUAAUUGUCUUUCUGUUAAACUUUUAAAUUCUAUAAAAAAAUAUGUGAACCUCGUUUUUCACAUUAAGUAAUUUGUAAAAACUCUGCCCUAAAGAAGGAUUUUUCUUGCUGAUAGCUCUUUUUAAAUACAUUUGGAGCACUGAUUCAUGAAAACGUUUACCAUUUUAAGUUGACUUCUUGAAGAGAACUGUAAUAGGAUGUGAAGACUUGAGGAAAUCAUAAAAACCACUUUAAAAAUAUUGUGCAUCCUUGCUGCAUGUCUUGUAUUAUUUAUAUGUACAUACCCUGUGUAUUCUGAAUAAAUGAUUAUAUGUGGAAUUCA
This is a non-coding RNA of Cyanistes caeruleus (blue tit), 11345 nucleotides long. The record is from RefSeq and is a predicted model, not a curated record. Lineage: Eukaryota; Metazoa; Chordata; Aves; Passeriformes; Paridae.